This 459-nucleotide ribosomal RNA is filed under the name uncultured bacterium. RNAcentral's name for it is "partial 16S ribosomal RNA". It matches the Rfam family "Bacterial small subunit ribosomal RNA", at positions 338 to 795 of the family's 1533-position model. The record is from RNAcentral.
CCUACGGGUGGCAGCAGUGAGGAAUAUUGGUCAAUGGGCGCGAGCCUGAACCAGCCAAGUCACGUGAGGGAAGACGGUCCUAUGGAUUGUAAACCUCUUUUGCCGGGGAGCAAAAGACGCCACGCGUGGCGUUCCGAGAGUACCCGAAGAAAAAGCAUCGGCUAACUCCGUGCCAGCAGCCGCGGUAAUACGGAGGAUGCGAGCGUUAUCCGGAUUUAUUGGGUUUAAAGGGUGCGCAGGCGGAAGAUCAAGUCAGCGGUAAAAGUGUGAGGCUCAACCUCUUCGAGCCGUUGAAACUGGUUGUCAUGAGUGAGUGAGAAGUAUGCGGAAUGAGUGGUGUAGCGGUGAAAUGCAUAGAUAUCGCGCAGAACUCCGAUUGCGAAGGCAGCAUACCGGCGCUCAACUGACGCUCAUGCACGAAAGUGUGGGUAUCGAACAGGAUUAGAUACCCUGGUAGUC